Molecule: ribosomal RNA, 347 nt
Filed under: uncultured bacterium
Lineage: Bacteria
Description: partial 16S ribosomal RNA
Rfam family: Bacterial small subunit ribosomal RNA
Source: RNAcentral
CCUACGGGGGGCUGCAGUGAGGAAUAUUGGUCAAUGGACGAGAGUCUGAACCAGCCAAGUAGCGUGAAGGAUGACGGCCCUAUGGGUUGUAAACUUCUUUUAUAGGGGAAUAAAAUGUGCCACGUGUGGGAUUUUGUAUGUACCAUAUGAAUAAGGAUCGGCUAACUCCGUGCCAGCAGCCGCGGUAAUACGGAGGAUCCGAGCGUUAUCCGGCUUUAUUGGGUUGAAAGGGAGCGUAGGUGGAUUGUUAAGUCAGUUGUGAAAGUUUGCGGCUCAACCGUAAAAUUGCAGUUGAAACUGGCAGUCUUGCGUACAGUAGAGGUGGGCGGCCUUCUUGGUGUCGCGGU